This 73-nucleotide transfer RNA is filed under the name Danio rerio (zebrafish). RNAcentral's name for it is "tRNA-Val (TAC) (tRNA-Val-TAC-11-1)". It matches the Rfam family "tRNA". From Rfam's summary of the family: Transfer RNA (tRNA) molecules are approximately 80 nucleotides in length. Their secondary structure includes four short double-helical elements and three loops (D, anti-codon, and T loops). Further hydrogen bonds mediate the characteristic L-shaped molecular structure. tRNAs have two regions of fundamental functional importance: the anti-codon, which is responsible for specific mRNA codon recognition, and the 3' end, to which the tRNAs corresponding amino acid is attached (by aminoacyl-tRNA synthetases). tRNAs cope with the degeneracy of the genetic code in two manners: having more than one tRNA (with a specific anti-codon) for a particular amino acid; and 'wobble' base-pairing, i.e. permitting non-standard base-pairing at the 3rd anti-codon position. The record is from Rfam by way of RNAcentral. Lineage: Eukaryota; Metazoa; Chordata; Actinopteri; Cypriniformes; Danionidae.
GUUUCCAUAGUGUAGUGGUCAUCACGUUCGCCUUACAUGCGAAAGGUCCCCAGUUCGAAACUGGGUGGAAACA